RNAcentral lists this ribosomal RNA (512 nucleotides) under uncultured bacterium. Its description in RNAcentral is "partial 16S ribosomal RNA". It matches the Rfam family "Bacterial small subunit ribosomal RNA", at positions 29 to 523 of the family's 1533-position model. The record is from RNAcentral.
AAUGAACGCUGGCGGCGUGCCUAACACAUGCAAGUCGUACGAGAAAGGGGCUUCGGCCCUGAGUAGAGUGGCGCACGGGUGAGUAACGCGUGGGUAAUCUGCCCUUGGAUUUGGAAUAACUCCGCGAAAGUGGAGCUAAUACCGGAUAGUCUGGCUUUUUUACGAAGUCGGUAAAGGAUGCCUCUGCAUAUGCAUUCGUCCGAGGAUGAGCCCGCGUCUCAUUAGCUAGUUGGUAGGGUAAUGGCCUACCAAGGCAACGAUGAGUAGCUGGUCUGAGAGGAUGAUCAGCCACACUGGAACUGAAACACGGUCCAGACUCCUACGGGAGGCAGCAGUGGGGAAUAUUGCGCAACGGGCGAAAGCCUGACGCAGCAACGCCGUGUGAGGGAUGAAGGCUUUCGGGUCGUAAACCUCUGUCAGAAGGGAAGAACGGGCAUUGGUCUAAUAGGCCUUUGUUUUGACGGUACCUUCAGAGGAAGCACCGGCUAACUCCGUGCCAGCCGCCGCCGUAA